RNAcentral lists this ribosomal RNA (465 nucleotides) under Vreelandella stevensii. Its description in RNAcentral is "partial 16S ribosomal RNA". It matches the Rfam family "Bacterial small subunit ribosomal RNA", at positions 338 to 795 of the family's 1533-position model. Lineage: Bacteria; Pseudomonadati; Pseudomonadota; Gammaproteobacteria; Oceanospirillales; Halomonadaceae. The record is from RNAcentral.
UCUACGGGGUGCAGCAGUGGGGAAUAUUGGACAAUGGGCGAAAGCCUGAUCCAGCCAUGCCGCGUGUGUGAAGAAGGCCUUCGGGUUGUAAAGCACUUUCAGUGGGGAAGAAAGCCUUGGGGCUAAUACCCUCGAGGAAGGACAUCACCCACAGAAGAAGCACCGGCUAACUCCGUGCCAGCAGCCGCGGUAAUACGGAGGGUGCGAGCGUUAAUCGGAAUUACUGGGCGUAAAGCGCGCGUAGGCGGUCUGAUAAGCCGGUUGUGAAAGCCCCGGGCUCAACCUGGGAACGGCAUCCGGAACUGUCAGGCUAGAGUGCAGGAGAGGAAGGUAGAAUUCCCGGUGUAGCGGUGAAAUGCGUAGAGAUCGGGAGGAAUACCAGUGGCGAAGGCGGCCUUCUGGACUGACACUGACGCUGAGGUGCGAAAGCGUGGGUAGCAAACAGGAUUAGAUACCCGUGUAGUC